RNAcentral lists this ribosomal RNA (705 nucleotides) under Triticum aestivum (bread wheat). Its description in RNAcentral is "partial small subunit ribosomal RNA". Lineage: Eukaryota; Viridiplantae; Streptophyta; Magnoliopsida; Poales; Poaceae. The record is from RNAcentral.
AUGUCCAUGUACAUCCUGGCAUUUACAUUAUCAAGUGCAUUGAUGACAGCAUCAAGGCCCUCCCAGAAUGCAUCAUUGAAAACAAGUCUCUGGACAGGCACGAUUCUGCAAAGCAUCAAUAUGGAAGCUGGAGUUGAUAGCACUAGCAGCUGUAGCGGAUACUGUAGAUUUUGCCUGUCCAGUGCUCCAAUCACGAAACAGAAUUGCCGGCUCAAGUUGCUUUUCUCAAUGACAUUAUCAAGUGCAUUGAUGACAGCAUCAAGGCCCUCCCAGAAUGCAUCAUUGAAAACAAGUCUCUGGACAGGCACGAUUCUGCAGAGCAUCAAUAUGGAAGCUGGAGUUGAUAGCACUAGCAGCUAUAGCGGAUACUGUAGAUUUUGCCUGUCCAGUGCUCCAAUCAUGAAACAGAAUUGCCGGCUCAAGUUGCUUUUCUCAAUGACAUUAUCAAGUGCAUUGAUGACAGCAUCAAGGCCCUCCCAGAAUGCAUCAUUGAAAACAAGUCUCUGGACAGGCACGAUUCUGCAGAGCAUCAAUAUGGAAGCUGGAGUUGAUAGCACUAGCAGCUAUAGCGGAUACUGUAGAUUUUGCCUGUCCAGUGCUCCAAUCAUGAAACAGAAUUGCCGGCUCAAGUUGCUUUUCUCAAUGACAUUAUCAUCUGUUAUAGUUAGCCCAUAUUUACCCAUAUAUGUUUUCUAUCUUCCAUAA